Molecule: long non-coding RNA, 343 nt
Filed under: Penaeus japonicus
Lineage: Eukaryota; Metazoa; Arthropoda; Malacostraca; Decapoda; Penaeidae
Description: uncharacterized LOC122245662
Source: RNAcentral
GGCGCCGCGAGGGUCCCCCUGGCGCCAGAAGUGCUUCGGAUGUCGGGCGAUGAAGGCCAGGCUCGGACUCCGGAUUUUCCUCCUAAUUUGCCUCCUUUGCUCCUUCGUGGCACAAAGAAUUGCUGACGACUUCUCCUUGAUGACUAAAAACAUGGGGUUUAAAGAUAGUGGCUUAAAGGGGUCCGGUAUUGAAGAAGCCUGUAACAAAGGUAUGAGACCGAGGCUUGGUACUUUCUCAGUUUUGUGCUUUAGAUAAAUAAUACUGAACAGUUGUGAACAUACCCUAAAUUUCUAAACCAAAUACAAACACGCAAUGACAUAUACACACACACACACACACACA